GAAGGGUGUGUUAGGUAAAAUGCUGUUCCCACCAUUUCCCCAAGCCUGGCGCCUGAAACAGCGUUACUUCGCGAAAUGUGAAAACCUAGACUCUUUCUCAAGUUCAUCUUAUUUGGUCUGUAAUCAGAUUCCAGACAUAGAUCCGAAGCUGCUACAUUUCUGCCAUUUAUUUAUGUACGGUGCCGACUUGAGGUUACAAUUUUUACUCUGAGUAAGCAAAUUGAUACACAUAAACCAUGGAGGAAGAAACAAGUAAUGAACCCAUCUUAUCUGAUGGUGAAAAUAAUGGAGAAGAUAGAAUUAGCAAUUUACCCGAUUGUUUAAUUUAUCAUAUCUUAUCUUUUCUUGAUAUGACAUAUGUACUCCGAACCAGUGUUUUGGCGAAAAGAUGGAGGUAUUUUUGGACCUCUCUUUCUACUAUAAACCUAGAUUCGGAUUUUUGCAAAUUUUUGGAAAGUGAAGAUGAAAAUUUUAGUUUUGUGGAUAGAGUACUCAUGCUUCGCGACAGCUCUGAUAUAGAAAAAAUUCAUCUUGAUUGGAGUCAGCGUGAUCCUGAAAUUGCAACUCGUGUUAACACAUGGAUCCUUGGUGCCGUAAGUCGUAAUGUUCAAGAUCUCCAUAUUAUCUUGUCUCUAUGGGAAUAUCAAAAGUUUAAGUUUCCUCAAUCCCUCUUCUCUUGUAAGUCGCUGACAAAGUUAAGCUUGGAUCUAGGUCUUAGUUUUGACUCUAUCGUAAGUUUACCUAAAUCAAUGAAUUUUCAUUUACCUAUGCUUAAAUAUUUGAAGCUGUCCGGUCUUUCAAUUUAUAAGAGAGAAUUAACGAAUAAACUCUUCUCUAGCUGCCCAGUUCUGGAAUCUUUGAUCAUAAAAAGAUGUUGUGUCAAUUUGGAUAAUGUGUAUGCUCCUAAACUUAAGUACUUCAAAGUGAAUAGCAAUGAUUAUGGUUCAGAAGAAGGUAACAUGAUCCGGUUAUAUGCUCCAAACCUUACAUCAUUUAUUUGCGGAAGAUGUUUGUCACAUAAUUAUGCCCUAGAGAGCCUUUCUUCUCUUGUAACUGCUGAUUUUAGGAUGACGUUACUAGACAAUGAUGAGGAAUAUGAUUCCUAUCUAAUGGAUUCUGCUGAGUGCAAAAAACACGUUUCGCAAAGUAUGAUGAACUUGCUGAGAGGAAUUCGUAAUGUGAAAGAUUUAAUUUUACCAGAAUGCUUCCUUCAAGUUAUCUCAGGUUAUCUCAGGAGCUUCUAAAUUAUUUGAAUGUCAACCACCUCAGUUAUCUAAUUUACGAAUUUUGGAGUUACAAACAUACCUUCGAAAAAACUGCUUUCCUGCAAUAGCGUAUUUACUCAAGAUUUCUCCUAAACUUGAAUCCCUUUACAUCCAAAUAAACAAGGAUUAUUCAGACGAGCCUCUAGUAUAUCCAUUCUUUGAUGAGAUAAUUUCUGAUCCACAAAAUGUAGGAGAUGAUUGGGAAACAGAAGUAUCACUGCCAUGCAUGAUGCAUCACCUGAAGUUUGUUAAGCUUAUACCUGUCCAAGGUCGCAUUAAUGAACUCAAGUUUCUGGAGCUUUUGCUAAGGAAUGCAGCAGUCUUGGAAAGAGUGAUUCUUUGCUGUGAGUGGGGUCCUGGUAAGACAACGACACGGUUGACGAAUUUCUGUGAGAAGCUACAUACAUUUUCAAGAGUGUCUUCAGCUGUCACAUUUAUGUGCUUCUAAGAGGGUGGUAAGGUGGGAGGGAGUGAAGGCCCAAGCAAUGGUCAUCAGUCACUGUGUGUCUAUCUGCCUAACUUCUAAGAGCUUCCUUCAGCCCAGGCUCUGUUCCUGUGUUUUUAAGUUUUUCUGCGGGAAAAGUUCACUCUCUUUAUUCUUCUUUUUUAAUGAAUCUAGUGGGUUUCAGUUUAUGGUUUGACAUCUCUUGGUGAUGGUCAAUAACCUGGAAUAGAUCAUAUUUCGUGUUUCCUCUUACUGCUCCGAGACAAUACACAUAGGAUAUGUUCCUUGGUUAAAAGGUUAAAGGUUUUCUUCAGUUCCGUAUU
RNA transcript from Papaver somniferum (opium poppy), 2033 nucleotides. RefSeq lists it as uncharacterized. The transcript has 5 exons. Lineage: Eukaryota; Viridiplantae; Streptophyta; Magnoliopsida; Ranunculales; Papaveraceae. The record is from RefSeq and is a predicted model, not a curated record.